GACAGAGGCCCCAAGCGUUAGGCGGAAUCACUGGGCUUAAAGCGUGUGUAGGCGGAUCGUUAAGUGUCUUGUGAAAUCCCACGGCUCACCCGUGGAACUGCUGGGCAUACUGGCGAUCUUGGGCCAACUAGGGGCAGCCGGAACAAGCGGUGGAGCGGUGAAAUGCGUAGAUAUCGCUUGGAACGCCGAAGGUGAAAACAGGCUGCUGGGGUUGCGCCGGACG
RNAcentral lists this ribosomal RNA (223 nucleotides) under uncultured bacterium. RNAcentral's name for it is "partial 16S ribosomal RNA". It matches the Rfam family "Bacterial small subunit ribosomal RNA", at positions 524 to 745 of the family's 1533-position model. The record is from RNAcentral.